This 697-nucleotide ribosomal RNA is filed under the name Chrysophyceae sp. RNAcentral's name for it is "eukaryotic LSU rRNA". It matches the Rfam family "Eukaryotic large subunit ribosomal RNA", at positions 126 to 887 of the family's 3401-position model. Lineage: Eukaryota; Chrysophyceae. The record is from RNAcentral.
ACGUGAAAUCUUCGGAAAUGUCGUCUGGAGAAGCAAGAUGACACUGCUAGGGCGGGCCAAGUCUUCUGGAACGAAGCGCCAGUGAGGGUGAUAGCCCCGUACAUGCCUGCCCGAAAGGUGUAGUUCUGCUUUCAACGAGUCGAGUUGUUUGGGAUUGCAGCUCUAAGCGGGUGGUAAAUUCCAUCUAAAGCUAAAUAUUGGUGGGAGACCGAUAGCGAACAAGUACCGUGAGGGAAAGAUGCAAAGAACUUUGAAAAGAGAGUGAAAGAGUACCUGAAAUUGCUGAAAAGGAACCGAUGGGAGGCAGUGUUGCCUGCGGCCACUCGUGGCGGCAGCAAGUCAGGCUUCCUUGAGCGCGCGGGAGAGGGGCUCGGACCCGUGUGGGCCGGGCACGCACCGUCGUGCGCUCGAGGGACUCUUGACAAAAUGCCUCUUAUCAUCCCGUCUUGAAACACGGACCAAGGAGUCUAACAUGUGUGCGAGUGCUCGGGGUGCACCCCCCAGCGCGGAAUUAACGUAAAGGCCCGGACUUGUCUGGGCUGAGGUAGGAUGUUUUGGUACAGCACUAUCGACCGACCAUGAUCCCUCGGGUGAAAGGUUUGAGUGUGAGCAUACAUGUUGGGACCCGAAAGAUGGUGAACUAUGCCUGAGUAGGGCGAAGCCAGGGGAAACUCUGGUGGAGGUCCGUAGCGAUUCU